ACUUGGAUAACCCUGCUAAUUGUAGAGCUAAUACAUGCACGAAUUCCUGACAGGAAGGGAUGGGGCAACUCAUUUUGACUUGAAGGGAAGCACUUGUUAGCCAGGCAAGCCAAUGCGGGAGCAAUCCCGGAGGAUGGCGAGUCAUAACAAUUGAGCGAAUCGCAAGCCCUUGAGGCGGCGAUGCACCAUUCAAAUUUCUGCCCUAUCAACUUUCGAUGGUAGGAUCGGGGCCUACCAUGGUCGUAACGGGUAACGGGGAAUUAGGGUUUGAUUCCGGAGAGGGAGCUCGAGAAACGGCUACCACUUCCAAGGAAGGCAGCAGGCGCGCAAAUUACCCACUGGCGACACGCCGAGGUAGUGACAACAAAUAAGUAGGUAGGUCUCAUUAGGGAUUUGCCAUACGAAUGAGUACAAUUUAAACCCCUUAACGAAAGCCACUGGAGGGCAAGUCUGGUGCCAGCAGCCGCGGUAAUUCCAGCUCCAGUAGCGUAUAUUAAAGCUGUUGCGGUUAAAAAGCUCGUAGUCGGAACUGAAGACUGUCAGAAGACUGGUCCAUGCAUAGUCAUGAGUACUGGUCAUCGAGUCUUUAUAAACUUCUGGAUGCCUGCUCCUGCUCUUUAUUGAGUGGAAGUAACAAGCAAGCUGUGUUGGCAACAAUGCAGAUUGUGAAGGUUCCAGAUCGAUUACUUUGAGAAAAUUAGAGUGUUCAAAGCAGGCGGUCACGCCUUGAAUACAUUAGCAUGGGAUAAUGCCAUGGGACUCUGAGCCCAUUUCGUUGGUUUCUGGGAAUGGAGUCACGAUCAACAGGGACAGUUGGGGUGAUUCAUUUUUUGCCGACAGGGGUGAAAUCCUAUGACCGGCGAAAGAUGAACUAGUGCGAAAGCAUCUCACAAGGAUGUUUUCAUUGAUCAAGAACGAAAGUUGAGGGAUCGAAGGCGAUCAGAUACCGCCCUAGUCUCAACCAUAAACCAUGCCGACCAGGGAUCGGGAGACGUUCAAAUUAUACGACUCCCCCGGCACCUUGUGAGAAAUCACAAGUCUUUGGGCUUCGGGGGGAGUAUGGUCGCAAGGCUGAAACUUAAAGGAAUUGACGGAACGACACCACCAGGAGUGGAGCCUGCGGCUUAAUUCGACCCAACACGGGAAAACUCACCAGGUCCAGACAGCGGAAGGAUGUACAGACUUGCAGAUCUUUAUAGAUUCGCUGGGUGGUGGUGCAUGGCCGUUCUUGGCUCGUGCGUUGAC
Molecule: ribosomal RNA, 1245 nt
Filed under: metagenome
Description: SSU rRNA
Rfam family: Eukaryotic small subunit ribosomal RNA
Source: RNAcentral